RNAcentral lists this unclassified non-coding RNA (6806 nucleotides) under Leishmania donovani. RNAcentral's name for it is "gene:LdHU3.11.0370(CDS-product:hypothetical_prote in_conserved)". Lineage: Eukaryota; Euglenozoa; Kinetoplastea; Trypanosomatida; Trypanosomatidae. The record is from RNAcentral.
CACCACCACAACGACCGCACGCUCAGAGAGACGCGCUCACCGCCCCACAACUGUUUGUCUGCGAGCGGGUUCGGUGCUGCGAUACAAGGAUGCCCGUCUCCUCGUCACGCACUUCGCCACAGCAGCGGCUGCCCUCGAAUGCGCCCACAUUCACCCAUCACGAUGUGAGCGCCUUCCGCCUGCGCCCGCUAUCCUAUACAAACGCGACCGCCGCCCCUUCGAGUGCGGCGGCGGCGUCCACAUCGCAACUGCCACAUCUACAACAAUCGGCCGGCAAGAGUGCGACGACAACGACAGCAGCAGCGCGUGGCCUCUUCAAGACUGCGUCGGCGCACCACAGUCGAAGAGCAGCUCAGCCCGCUACCUCUGCAGCGUCGAUGAGCGGCUUUGAGGCGAUACGCGUGCCGCCUGCAGCAACCCCACGUGUCUACGCAGCCCUCAUCCCUGCUCGCGUCCAGCCAAACGAGGACAACAAGAGGGAUAAGAGCGAUGCGAAUCGGCAGAAGGCAAAGUCGUCUCCGCCACCCGGUGCUGGGGCCAGCGUUGCCGGCUGUGCGGCUGCACCCCUCCACGAAGCGCUCGUGGGCUUGCCAGCGUCAACCACGGAGAACAUCGUGGCACCAGACCUGAGCGCUGCCGAGACGCGGCAGCUGGCGCUGUGGACGCGCAGCACGCCAGCCUUUACCGCCUCCACAGCGCCGUCUCAUGCCUCAACGACCUCCUUCAACGGCCCGCUACACCACUGGUGGCGUGAGCGACAGGCGAUGCGGCUCCACCAGCGCCAUGUGGCUGCGCUCGACGAACAGCUGAGCCCGGCUCUCGAGCAAGCUGUGCGAGCACUGCUGACGUCGGAAGAACAUCAUUGGCAGCGCGAGCUGCAGCACCAGCGAGAGCGAAAGAGUGGGGUGUGCCUGGUACCAUCGAGUGCAUCGCCGGUGCCGCUCCACAAGAUGGCGGCGCUGCUGCAAGCGCUGCAGCUGGUCCUUCAUCAGACGAGCGUUUCUUUCAUCGAGGCCCAGAGCAGAAAGACCACCGCCGCAGUCGCCACCGUGGAGGACACGUGUGAUGGAAAUCGCAAUGCAGGACGGCAUGUCGGUCUCACAAGCACCUCAAGCAGUUUCACGGAGCAAGAGAACGAAGUGGAGGCGCAGCACGCAUUGGAGCUGGAGCAGCGUCACGAGGUGCUGCAGGCCGCCCUCAACACGGAGCGUGCACUGGCGGAGGAGGUGAAGCAACAGGUGUCGACGGCUUUGCCGACCGGGGCCGGCGUCUCUGUUGUCGCUCUCCCUUGUGACCGCCCUGUCCCUGCCCCCGUGCUGCGGCUAGAAGCGGCGGUCAGUGUUGCGCUGCUCUCCAGCAUGAUUGAGAAGGCGGAGUCAAUCACGGCAGGCAUGGAGUUCGCAAGCCACCUCCUCCGGCAGUACAUCCUGCCUCACGUGUACGCCGACUAUGCCGGGUGGGCGGCGGUGCGGCCACGGCUGGGAACGCUGAGCGAGCAGGUCACCCACCUUGCAACCCUUCCGCUGCGCGUCCAGCAGCAGCAGAGCCUGAUAGAUGCAGCCGUGCAGGCCCAGGCCGACGCGAAGUACCUCGAGGGCGUUGUGAAGUCGUGGACGAUGCGCGCGUGGCUGCAAGGAGUCAUACGGCACCGCCAGUGCCUCGCCCAGCAGGCUGCAACGGAGCGCGUGGUUGCACGACUACGGGGACGUGUCGAGCUGCAUCGGAUGUUCAGCGCGUGGCGGCGAGAGGCACAGCGCGGGCAGCAGCUUGUACGUGAGGCACGGAUGGAGGCGGCGUACAUCGAAUUUCUCAAUGAGUCGAGGCUAUCAGCGCUGCGGGACAAUCAAGCAUACGUGGGAACAGCGGCGACAAUGGCCACGGCUCUGCUCAUGUACGGCCCCGAAACCUCAGCUGAACCCGUAGCUACAAUGUGGUCUCGUGUUCAGCAGCAGCAGCAGCAAGAGAGCGGGCAAAGACAGCAGGAACUUGCUGCUGGCAACAGGGAAGGAUCUUCAGCAACGGGCAUCCAUGCCAGCGCCGCAUCCACAAUGGUGGACACCCCUGCCGGAUGGGCGGUGGCCCCCAGCCACUCGCGAGGGAGGAGCGCGCAGGCGUCCCUGUCGCCCCCUCCCAGCCGCCAUCGCCACGAAACGCACUCCUCGAAGCGCAAGGGGGCGGGCUACAGCCGAGUCCAACUCUCCUUUAUCCGUCGGAAGGCUGCCGGCGUGGCGUCGGCAGAGCAAGAGAGAGCCGGGGAGGCUGGCACCCGCAGCUUGCAGGGAAGCAAUGCCUCUGCGGCCAAUGAAGUCGUUGCAAGAGAAGAUGGAAAAUGUGGCAUGAUGGAGAGGUACAUUGUGCGGGAUGCCAGCAGCGAAGACCAGAGUGAGGGCAGUAACGAUGAGGACAACGCCAUCGAUGGCGGCGGAACGCUGGCGCAACUCGUCUACCUCGAGUCCCACGCUGACGAUAUCCAAGACGAGGGCAACAGGUCAUACCACGCGCGCUCUACAGCGCCGUCCACAUUCCCAGCAUCUGACAUCAACGCAUCCUUGGCGGAAGCCACUUCUAGUCGCGGAGGUGACGCCGGCGGCGUCCCGAUGCACCCUCUCUUCCAGACGAUGCUAGCGAAGCUGCACGAAAUUGACCGGGUCAACGCCUAUCUCCGCGCGGAGCUGGCCGUGCAGUCUCGGCGACUGCGCAAGGUCGAAGCUGCAAAUCAUGGCCUGCGUGAGCGGAAUCGCCAGCUGGAGGAUGGCACGCUGCAGUUGCUGCGCGACAAGCUGGAGGCGCUCAACACCGCACAAGAGCAGCUCAUGACGAUCAAGGAGAAGAACCGCCAGCUGCGGCACGUCCGCUCUCGCCUGCGCGCGCACCGGCACCGCCCGUGGCAGAACACCGUGCUGCGCGUCGUCGGAGACAUGUGCGAGGUCUCCACAGCGGCAGCCGAGGGUGCCGACGAGGCGCGCGUGCACGCGGAUCGCUACGGCACAGGGUGCACCACCAGCGACGAUGACGAUGGUGACGAGGGCGAGCUCGGCAACGCCUCGCCUCAUGCCGCGAAGUCCGCCGUGGCUGCCGAGGCGACGGCGGACGGGCGAGAGGCGACAGCCACCAUGUCGGUGACAUCGGCUUCCACAGAAAGCCGCGCGGCGCCGCCACGCAGCGAAAGCGAUGAGGAACGUCUGUUCAGCCGCAUCGCCCCAAUCGUGCUGCGCUCAGACCGUCAACUCCCUGAUGCCCUUGUCAUCAUCGCAGACUGGGCCAACAGCUGCCUCGACGACCUGGAGUGCCUCGACGACAUGAAGGAUGGCCCUCUAGCCGAGCGCUUCCACAGCUUCAGCGAGGAAGCGCGGAGCGGGGUGCUGAUCAGUCGACUUCUCUACUACCUUGCCCUGCCGCGGUACCGCACCACGACGUCGGCCGCCGAGAUGGAACGUGGCGUCGGCGCGAGCGUGGGCAUGAGCGACUCUGCCGGGGCCAGGCUGGAUGGCAUCGAUCGCCGACGUCAACUGCUGGAACAGCAUGGCGUGCAGCUAAACCCGCCCUUCCCUGUGUACGCCGACUGUUUUGGUGAUUUGCUGGCCGCACCGCCUGUAGAGCGCAUGUCCCAGCUUCUCGCCUUUGCGACAGAGCUCAUGGCCGGUCAAGACGUCUCGGCACAGGAGCAGAACGAGGCGUGGCGGGCGAACACCACAAACGGUGAGAAUACAAGCGGGCAGGCCACUGUCGACGUUCGUGUGAGCGCGGCAGAGGCGGGGGAUGUGAAACGGUCGCCGCGAGCCGCCGUGGCGUCGCUGCCUACGCUGUCAGCUCCGUUGCCGCUCCACACCGCGGUCGACCCGCACGCCAUCGUGCGCGGUGAGAGGUCAGCCGUCAUCACGCUCGUGGCGCUUCUUUACGUCCGCUUCGCGCACCCCUUCCACCACAAGAGUCUUCAGAGCGCGAAGCGAGAGCGCAGCGCACUGCUGUACCUCUGGAGCGGCGGCCAAGCGACAGCGGCCGAGCUCAACGGCAUCGUCAACGGCAGCCUCCGAGAUGCUGCAGGAGGGGGCGGCAGUCCGGCGGAAAUUACGGCGACGCUUGACCGGGCACCGCCAUCCGGCUACUCGAUCGAGGCGGACAUGCUGCGUCAGCUGCCGACAGAAGACAAGACGGCGUGGCAGCUCUUCCGUGAGCGUUGCCUUCCUGUCUUCGGCACACAGGCGCACCCCUUCCUGCUGCGCGGCGGCUUCUGGCCAAGCGACGCCUUCGAGAGCCCUGAGCUGGCCGCGAUGCUGAGCACCCUCGCCAUAGUGCUGCGCCGCUCACUGGAGCUGCACCGCUGGCAUGUUACGCUCAACUGCCUGGUGCCGGUGCGCACGUAUGGUGGGCUGAGCAACGGUGUCUUUACCGGACCGUGUGCGUCAGCCCCGGCACUACUGCUGGGACUUCGUCAGGACGGUAAGGAGAACCUCUCCAUCGAGCAUCCGCUCAUCCGUCAGUGCGUGGAGCAGCGCCAGCAGGCCUACCUGAACGCGCUGGCGAGCGAGACCUUCGGCGCCUCUCUCACCUCCGUGGACGAUGAGGCAGCCAAGCCGCCGACACAGCAACAGCAUCUGACCGACCCCACUGCUGAGACGGCGUCACUGACGGACGCCAUCACCGGUCUUUGGCAGGAAGAUCUUCUCUCGCUCUUUGUGCAGCGCGCCACCCUCUCCGCACACCUGGCGCUUCCGGUUCUCGACCUCGGCAGCUGGCGCAUGCUGUGUAGUGACCUCGGAGUGAUCAGCUUGGCGAGCCCAGACAGCGAGGACGCCGGCGCGCAUGAUUCUGCGGUGCUCAGGAGGCGCGAAUCUGGUCAGUCACAGAUGCAAGUCCAGUCAUUAUGGUCACGCCAGCCGAAGCCGCAGUUGCAGGCGAUAGACAUGGAGGUAGUGACGAAGCUCUUUCAACGCGCCGUCAUGGCGGUGUCGUUCGCUCGGGAUGAGGUGGACCCCGCAGUGCUGCAGUCGGCACGGACCGCCAGGGAGGCGUCGUCGCAGACGGCGCCAGCGGCCACGGAGCUGCGCCGCGAGGGUGACGACAGGCGGAGUCGUUCGCCGAAGUCAUCAAUGCAGCAUCAGACGCUACCAGACAUACAGAUGGACAUGACAUACCCGUCGUUUGUGAUGGCGCUUGUGCUACUGGCGCACCGUCUCUACCCGGCCUUCAUCUCGGCGACUCCAGCAGGCGUAGCAGUGCAACCCUUGUCUUCACCGACUGCCUUUGUCGGCAGCUGGGAAUCUAGCACCCUCGCCAGUAGCGAUGAUGGGCGGCUCGGGGGUCCCGCCUCGCUGCCGCCGUAUGGCGAUGAGGCGAACCGCAGCCGCCGCGUGUCGAGCAGCAAGCCCACCUACUGCUCCCUUAUGGAGGCUUUCAGGUUCAUGAUGCAGGGCAUCGUGCUGCCCAGCUCCGCCGCCCACCUGCAAGCGACAGAUCCUCGCUUCGUUCUUCACCAGCUCACGCGUGGCGUGAGGACACAGGUGGUGCUACGGAAUUGCGCCCCAGCGCUGCUGCUUGUGUUUCAGACUUAUAGCAAGGAGGUUUUCGGGGAGCCGGGGAUGGUGCGCAAGGAUGUGCUUCGGCUUCUGCGCGAUGCGAUGCUCACCAGCACCGAGCUCUCACAGCAUCGCAUCCAUGAGCUCUUUUCCAGCUGCUCUGUGCUGCGCCAGGCGAACGAAGAGGUCGCCAUCGCCAACCGCAAGGAGAUGGAUCGGCUGGCGCACGCCAACGGCGGCCCUGGCAGCCUCCCGUUGUCGUCGCGACGGCCAGGCUACCGCGCGGUGCGUAUCGUCGAUCCAGAUGCCGCCACCGAGUCCGCCGUCGCGCAACCAGCGCAUCGAAAGCGCGCCCACGUUCUCACCUUCGAGGGCUUCUGCGAUUUUCUGUGCGUCCUGUGCGGCUUCAAGCAGCCGAACGUGUUUGUCCCGUUUGAGGAGCGCCUGCUCUCCUUCCUGCAUCACUCGCUCCUGCGGCCGCUGACGCACAUGGUGCCUGCUCUGGCGUCGCUGGUGUCGCGCUCGCAGCUAGCCGGGGGGUCGAACAGCGUCUUGGUCUCUUCUGGCACAGCGGGAGCCGGUAGCGUCAACAACGACGGCAUCUCCAGCCACACGGGCGGAGGGGGUGGCAGCGGUGUGAUUGGCGCGUGCGGCGCAGCCUCGUAGCGGCUGCGGGCAUGAAUGGGAAGGACAGGAAGUAAGGGCUCGCUCGCGUCUGCAGUAAAGUCACGCAAGGACACAAAGAGUGUGCGUGGGCGCUUGUGUGUGUGUGUGUGCAUGUUGGUGUUUGGCUGUACUGUUCAUGUUUCCUCUGUUGUUGUUACUGUUGUUGUUGCUGCCCAUGUACAGCGGAUCGCCUCCGCCAUGAGUGAGUGCGUUGUGUGCGGACGUGUCUGUGUGCGUGAUCAAUGUUGCCCCCACCCUCCCACCACCACCACUCCUUGGAACCCUCUAUCUAUCUUGCUCGUGUCACUCUGUGGACACCCCCCUCCUUCUAUCUGACAGGUCAGUCCUGCACGGUGUUGCUCUCGCUCUCUGGGUUCGCUUCUUGAUGCAGGUGCGGUGCUACGUGUCGGCUGUGCCUUCUCCCCUCCCUCGUCAUGUCGUCAUUAUCUGCGGCAUGCAUGUACAUACGCUCUGGCAAGACGCACGUAAGCGAGGCGACAGUGAUCGCCAUGCAGGACGUCUCUCCAUUCCACGCGACCUCCCCCCCCCAAAGGGCUGCACGUGAAGGGUGAGUAGCAGCGACAGGGUCGCGUCGUGUCUGCCAGUGUGCACCACCUUUCUCUC